This 253-nucleotide ribosomal RNA is filed under the name uncultured bacterium. RNAcentral describes it as "partial 16S ribosomal RNA". It matches the Rfam family "Bacterial small subunit ribosomal RNA", at positions 524 to 776 of the family's 1533-position model. The record is from RNAcentral.
UACGUAGGUGGCAAGCGUUGUCCGGAUUUAUUGGGUUUAAAGGGUGCGUAGGCGGUUCUGUAAGUCAGUGGUGAAAUACGGCAGCUUAACUGUCGAGGUGCCAUUGAUACUGUAAGACUUGAGUACUGAUGAGGUAGGCGGAAUUGACGGUGUAGCGGUGAAAUGCUUAGAUAUCGUCAAGAACACCGAUAGCGAAGGCAGCUUACUAAGGAGUAACUGACGCUGAUGCACGAAAGUGUGGGGAUCAAACAGG